AGUGAACGCUGGCGGUAGGCCUAACACAUGCAAGUCGAACGGCAGCACAGUAAGAGCUUGCUCUUACGGGUGGCGAGUGGCGGACGGGUGAGGAAUACAUCGGAAUCUACUUUUUCGUGGGGGAUAACGUAGGGAAACUUACGCUAAUACCGCAUACGACCUACGGGUGAAAGCAGGGGAUCUUCGGACCUUGCGCGAUUGAAUGAGCCGAUGUCGGAUUAGCUAGUUGGCGGGGUAAAGGCCCACCAAGGCGACGAUCCGUAGCUGGUCUGAGAGGAUGAUCAGCCACACUGGAACUGAGACACGGUACAGACUCCUACGGGAGGCAGCAGUGGGGAAUAUUGGACAAUGGGCGCAAGCCUGAUCCAGCCAUACCGCGUGGGUGAAGAAGGCCUUAGGGUUGUAAAGCCCUUUUGUUGGGAAAGAAAAGCAGCAGGUUAAUACCCCGCUGUUCUGACGGUACCCAAAGAAUAAGCACCGGCUAACUUCGUG
RNAcentral lists this ribosomal RNA (492 nucleotides) under uncultured bacterium. Its description in RNAcentral is "partial 16S ribosomal RNA". It matches the Rfam family "Bacterial small subunit ribosomal RNA", at positions 29 to 507 of the family's 1533-position model. The record is from RNAcentral.